This 2525-nucleotide ribosomal RNA is filed under the name Escherichia coli. RNAcentral describes it as "partial 23S ribosomal RNA". It matches the Rfam family "Bacterial large subunit ribosomal RNA", at positions 375 to 2883 of the family's 2925-position model. The record is from RNAcentral. Lineage: Bacteria; Pseudomonadati; Pseudomonadota; Gammaproteobacteria; Enterobacterales; Enterobacteriaceae.
GUACACAAAAAUGCACAUAUUGUGAGCUCGAUGAGUAGGGCGGGACACGUGGUAUCCUGUCUGAAUAUGGGGGGACCAUCCUCCAAGGCUAAAUACUCCUGACUGACCGAUAGUGAACCAGUACCGUGAGGGAAAGGCGAAAAGAACCCCGGCGAGGGGAGUGAAAAAGAACCUGAAACCGUGUACGUACAAGCAGUGGGAGCCUCUUUAUGGGGUGACUGCGUACCUUUUGUAUAAUGGGUCAGCGACUUAUAUUCUGUAGCAAGGUUAACCGAAUAGGGGAGCCGAAGGGAAACCGAGUCUUAACUGGGCGUUAAGUUGCAGGGUAUAGACCCGAAACCCGGUGAUCUAGCCAUGGGCAGGUUGAAGGUUGGGUAACACUAACUGGAGGACCGAACCGACUAAUGUUGAAAAAUUAGCGGAUGACUUGUGGCUGGGGGUGAAAGGCCAAUCAAACCGGGAGAUAGCUGGUUCUCCCCGAAAGCUAUUUAGGUAGCGCCUCGUGAAUUCAUCUCCGGGGGUAGAGCACUGUUUCGGCAAGGGGGUCAUCCCGACUUACCAACCCGAUGCAAACUGCGAAUACCGGAGAAUGUUAUCACGGGAGACACACGGCGGGUGCUAACGUCCGUCGUGAAGAGGGAAACAACCCAGACCGCCAGCUAAGGUCCCAAAGUCAUGGUUAAGUGGGAAACGAUGUGGGAAGGCCCAGACAGCCAGGAUGUUGGCUUAGAAGCAGCCAUCAUUUAAAGAAAGCGUAAUAGCUCACUGGUCGAGUCGGCCUGCGCGGAAGAUGUAACGGGGCUAAACCAUGCACCGAAGCUGCGGCAGCGACACUAUGUGUUGUUGGGUAGGGGAGCGUUCUGUAAGCCUGUGAAGGUGGCCUGUGAGGGUUGCUGGAGGUAUCAGAAGUGCGAAUGCUGACAUAAGUAACGAUAAAGCGGGUGAAAAGCCCGCUCGCCGGAAGACCAAGGGUUCCUGUCCAACGUUAAUCGGGGCAGGGUGAGUCGACCCCUAAGGCGAGGCCGAAAGGCGUAGUCGAUGGGAAACAGGUUAAUAUUCCUGUACUUGGUGUUACUGCGAAGGGGGGACGGAGAAGGCUAUGUUGGCCGGGCGACGGUUGUCCCGGUUUAAGCGUGUAGGCUGGUUUUCCAGGCAAAUCCGGAAAACCAAGGCUGAGGCGUGAUGACGAGGCACUACGGUGCUGAAGCGACAAAUGCCCUGCUUCCAGGAAAAGCCUCUAAGCAUCAGGUAACAUCAAAUCGUACCCCAAACCGACACAGGUGGUCAGGUAGAGAAUACCAAGGCGCUUGAGAGAACUCGGGUGAAGGAACUAGGCAAAAUGGUGCCGUAACUUCGGGAGAAGGCACGCUGAUAUGUAGGUGAAGCGACUUGCUCGUGGAGCUGAAAUCAGUCGAAGAUACCAGCUGGCUGCAACUGUUUAUUAAAAACACAGCACUGUGCAAACACGAAAGUGGACGUAUACGGUGUGACGCCUGCCCGGUGCCGGAAGGUUAAUUGAUGGGGUUAGCGGUAACGCGAAGCUCUUGAUCGAAGCCCCGGUAAACGGCGGCCGUAACUAUAACGGUCCUAAGGUAGCGAAAUUCCUUGUCGGGUAAGUUCCGACCUGCACGAAUGGCGUAAUGAUGGCCAGGCUGUCUCCACCCGAGACUCAGUGAAAUUGAACUCGCUGUGAAGAUGCAGUGUACCCGCGGCAAGACGGAAAGACCCCGUGAACCUUUACUAUAGCUUGACACUGAACAUUGAGCCUUGAUGUGUAGGAUAGGUGGGAGGCUUUGAAGUGUGGACGCCAGUCUGCAUGGAGCCGACCUUGAAAUACCACCCUUUAAUGUUUGAUGUUCUAACGUUGGCCCGUAAUCCGGGUUGCGGACAGUGUCUGGUGGGUAGUUUGACUGGGGCGGUCUCCUCCUAAAGAGUAACGGAGGAGCACGAAGGUUGGCUAAUCCUGGUCGGACAUCAGGAGGUUAGUGCAAUGGCAUAAGCCAGCUUGACUGCGAGCGUGACGGCGCGAGCAGGUGCGAAAGCAGGUCAUAGUGAUCCGGUGGUUCUGAAUGGAAGGGCCAUCGCUCAACGGAUAAAAGGUACUCCGGGGAUAACAGGCUGAUACCGCCCAAGAGUUCAUAUCGACGGCGGUGUUUGGCACCUCGAUGUCGGCUCAUCACAUCCUGGGGCUGAAGUAGGUCCCAAGGGUAUGGCUGUUCGCCAUUUAAAGUGGUACGCGAGCUGGGUUUAGAACGUCGUGAGACAGUUCGGUCCCUAUCUGCCGUGGGCGCUGGAGAACUGAGGGGGGCUGCUCCUAGUACGAGAGGACCGGAGUGGACGCAUCACUGGUGUUCGGGUUGUCAUGCCAAUGGCACUGCCCGGUAGCUAAAUGCGGAAGAGAUAAGUGCUGAAAGCAUCUAAGCACGAAACUUGCCCCGAGAUGAGUUCUCCCUGACUCCUUGAGAGUCCUGAAGGAACGUUGAAGACGACGACGUUGAUAGGCCGGGUGUGUAAGCGCAGCGAUG